GGACAAUAUGGUUUAAGGUCUUAAUGUGGGCCUUCAGUCGCCUUAGGUCUUCCCCCACCCGACGUGCAGCGUGGGAGUAAAGCUAGUAUAGCAGUGUUAAAAUGAAAUUAAUAUAAAAGUAACAUAAAUCAGUAUAUUUUGUAAUAUGAAACAGAAAUAGCAUAUAAAGUAAAAUAAAAUAGUAAAUCAAUUAGCAAAGCUAGUAUAGCAGUAAUAGUACAGUAUAAAGGACAAACUAUAGCAGCAUAGUGUAAAGUAAAUUUUGUAGUAUGGCUACUAUAGCAGUAGUAAAGCUAGUAGUAAAGCUAGUAUAGCAAUUAAGAGACUCUUCUCUUGGCAUGGAGAACAUUGUGAGUUUAAAGUCUGUUUUGGAACUGAGGUUUGUACUGUCUGGAAAAAGAUGAAAAAGGCUCUUUUUGAUACCAUUCUUUUUAACUUCAAGGGGUUGCUGGGAUACCCUGAAGCAACCUUAAAAUAUGCAAAAGUCUUUCACUUUCACCGUAAGAACUACAUUUUUAAUACAGUUUCAGUAACGGUUCCUUCUAUCAUACUUUUCCUGCAGAAUAUUGUGUAUGUUUAUUCUUCUAGUUAAAAAAUAUAUCAAAUGCAUUUUUCCAUGAUAGAAAGUAUAGCAGAGUAAUCUUUGCCUUCAGGUCAUAAUACUUGAGCCAGAAUUGGAGAGUCAACUGAACUAAAAUUCUCCUAAUAAGCCACAGAAAAGUGACUAAUAUAAUGAUAAACAUAAUCUCUGCUCUUGCUGGAACCAUCAGCACUAUCUGAGAUCGAAUAUUAUUAAUAUUCAUCAUCAAUAUCCCUGGCCUCAGGAUGUCAUUUCUAAGGUGAUUUUUCUCAUCUCUAUUUUUUUUUUCAUUUUUGGUUUCUUAUCUUGUCUUCUUUAUCCUUGCCAUAAUAUUUGUAAUGUUCCACACAGGAACUGUAAUUAAGCCUUUUCUUUGUUCUUUGUCUUCAGUCUCUAAUGCAUUGUAUAAUGUUAUAGUCCUAAAGUAAAACAGUAAGAAUCUACUAAUGUAAACUUUUGGGAAGGUUUUCAAAAGUACGUUUUGAUUUGAAUCGUGUAAUAAGUUGCACUGACAUACAGUUAAGCUUAUAAUGAUGUACCAAGAUCUCUCCACAGAUAUCACAGGAAUAUGGGACCUUCGUGACUUAGAAUUUCUAGAAUCAAGUUCUUGGUGAAAGAACCCAGAUCACGUCACUGUUUGCAAUUGAAGUGGGACAUGGUUCCAGUCCUGCAGACUUUACAAGAAACCAGUUUAAUACCAAACUCAUGGAAUAUCAGAGCUGGAAAACAGGCAAGAUUAGACAUUUAGACUGCUUUGUAUCUGAAUAAAGUGGGAGAGGUGAAAAAAGCUCUUAAUUCUUUCAGUAUUGCCCUUCUUCGCUCUAACCAAAUUAUAUUAUCUCCUGGUUAACAAAUUUAGCCUCUUUCACUUUGAGACUACUGGAAUGCAGAUUUCUUCCCUCUAAUCAGAUGAUUUGCUCAAAAGAUUAAAUCUGUUAUUUUAAGGAAAGCAAAUGCGUCAGCUCAAAUGCUUGAAGGAUCAAAGCAGGAGGUAUGUCUCCUUAAUGAAUGAUUUUGAAACUUUUGGACAAAACAAUGUCAGUGCAAUAAAAAGGAAUCCUGCUCUGCCUGAGGGCAGUAUAGAAAACAAAACAGUGCUUAUAUAAAUAUACUUCAGAAAGUGUAAUAGUAAAAAGAUGAGGAAAAAGGUGGUAGAGAAAGCUUUGCUGGCUACAAUAGGCAUCAAGGUCUUGCUGGGGCUUUGAUGGAUUUCUGGCUGUAAAUGCAGUUUUCCAAUUCAAACUGACUUGAUAACUCAGUGAAUUAAUAAACAGCUUCUUCUAUGUUCUGGUGCUCAGUGGUGAGCAGAAAGUCUAUUGGCCUUGUAAGCAGAACAGGUAGCCAACCAGGAAUGCUUUGGAGAUAUUUUUAAAAGGGAAGACAAAUGUUUUUUCCUUUCCAAAUAGGAAUUUGUUUUGGCUUACCUACCUUUAUCUUUGAUCCCCUGCCAUUAUCUUCUUUUAGCCUUCCCAUUUUCCUUCUUUCAAAUAAUUUUUCUCUAGUAUAGCUCCCCAAAAUAUUCUUGUUUCACUGAUGUUGGCAGAAAAUGCCAAUCUGUUUUAAAUCAAGUUCUGUAGGAAUAUAUUUGUUUCAAUGAAACUACAGCUGAAAGCAAUUAUGGGCUCCAAUUCUGAAUCCCUGUAACAAAAUUAAAAUUAAAAAAUCCCGUGAGCUUUUCUAGCUAGUAGGUUUUAAGUUAGUGGCACUCUCUUGGGAAUGGAGGCUGCAAGUUCAAGUCCCUGUUCCGUCAUCUUCGGAACUGGAAUUGGAACAGAAAAUUGGAUCUGGGUCAACUUCAUUUCAGCCAAGUGUCCCACUCAGCAAGCCCAGAAGCCAACAUCCCUUGUCCAACAAAUGUUUUUUAUUUAAUCGAAUCUUGAAUAAGAGGGAUUUAGGUUCUUCCAUGCUAUGCAGAGGAGGCACUGGUACUUGGCCCCCCAUGCUCCUCUUCCUGUCCUGAGCCAUGUGGCAGUUCCAGGAGCAGAUUAUCAGUUUCAAUAGACCUGAUCCUUUCUAGUAAGCUGGCACUUCUGUGAAGCCCUGGGCUGUCACUCUCUUUGGCGCUGCAGAGACCUUCUGCCUGGUCCCAGAGAUGAAGGCAGGAAACAUGGAGAGGGAACUGAGGAAAUGCAGGCUCCCCAUUCCCCCUUGAUGCUUAGCCUAAUCACAGCCCAACCUUCCGUUCCCAGGUCCAAGGCUGGAAAAUAUGAGGAGGCAUUUGUGUCCAGAUACUAGGGGCAGCAGAACUUGCCUGAAGCAGUUUUUCUUAAGGGAAAAGGCUGGUAAAUGGAAAUUUAGAAGUUCAACAUCUAUUUGAAGUAUUGAACUCUUGUGUUUUCUUCAUUCUUUCCCUGGAUUUACAAGUGUGGGCUAUUUUCAUCCAAACUUGAAGAAAAAGCACGGGCAAACUGGCACGUGUAGUAGCUGGCUUCUUCCUAACUUAUAUAGGCCUGUUAUAAAGGCCUAUAUAAAGGCCUAUCCUUUUUCUCACAAAAGAUAUGUUAAACUCAGUUGUUAAGGGCUUUACAGUGUAAUCAAACCAGCUCAGUACAGCAGGCAUCUCCAUCUUUUUCCCAUAUUAUUACAAAAUCUGCUUUCAAGUAUGUACCCCAUUGCAUUUUGGGAAUUCUGGAGAUUUUAAAUAAAAGAAUCUUCUUUUCUUGAAAGAACGUUCCGGCAAGUUCUUUCAACAGGAGCUUCUCUGCACAGCAUUAGAGAAUGCAGUGUAAAGUUCACUGUUACAGGAAAAGUGUUCCUCUCAUUUAUCAAAGGAUUAUUUUAGGCACAUUAGUUUAAGACGUACCUUUAAAAGGUUGAGCGUUUAGAAAGCUCAACAAAAUCCUUUGUUUUCUCGAUCUGUAUGUUUGCUUUGCCACUUUCAGGCUAUAACUUCGUUUUGUUCAAUGUUUGCUUAUUGAACAUGUUUUCUAAAUGCACACAGAUCAGCCUGGAAACACCAUUUGUUCACAUGUGGGUGUGACCUUAUCUCAAAGUGCCAGGUGGAUAUGGGCAGGUAGCAAGAGAGCUAUGUGAAAAGUAGAGUUUGUCAUUUGCACUUUCUGACAAGUCUUUCUGGGAGAUGGGGAGGUUUAGUCCUUCUUUAGUGGAAGUUGGAUUAAUUUUCUCAAACAAGUCCAAUGGGAAUUCCUAUUAGGUCUGCCAGCUUUGUCUGUUGCAUGAAAUGACAGCUUUGUAUUCAAAUAAAACAAUUAGAUCUCAGAGAAAAUCCUGGUGGUUAAAAAAAUUUAGUUAAAAGUUUUUUGGCUAACCCUGAGGUGGAGGGUUGGUUAUGACUUUGUGGAGAGUUGGUUGUAUAGCACUCAAAGAGUUCCAGAAAAAGGUCCACCCAAAUGUAAGAGAUAAUGACAUAUUCAGAAUGUCAGCUAAAUGAUUAUGCAAGCCACUUUUAUCUGAAGUUUUUCAAUGUAUGACAGGUGUCUUCUCUCCCACAUUCCCACAGCAGAAUGAAGAUCAGUACAGAAAAUGGGAAUUGAUCAUAAUUGCUGCUGAAAUGAAAAGAUAAUGACCAACGUCCUUCUUCAUUGAUGUGAACGAUAUGUUUUCCAUGGAUAAAAUACCUACUUUCAGGAUUGUGGCUCACAAACAGAAAAUCAAUAAGGAGAAAGUUCAAACUCUGCUGCCUGUGUACUAAAUGUUUGCUGACCAAAAUAAGAGCUUAAUAGGCAGAUCUGUGAUCUGUUGAGUUUUAUAAUACUUUGCAGUUUGAAAGUGUUGUAGAAGUAGCCUUCCUGGAAUUGAGACUAUGCACACCCACUGUGUAUUUUCACGAACAAACAAGAGAAAAAGUGGGUUUUUUUAAAGCUACGGGAAAUAGUAGUUUCUAAAAAGCACAUUUCUUCCUCUGAAGAAGUAAGCUCUCAGUUAUUUUCAGAGAUUUUUUCAGCAGGAAAUUCAACACACUUCAGCUGGUAAGAAAAAGUGUGCCUAUGCCUGUUUGUACACAAAUGUUUAUAAAGAACCCUUUCUUAAAGAAUUUAACCCACAGGAUCAAAAUGUAAGAUAAUUUUUAGAUCAGCCACAUCUUACUUCCAUACAUAUUUGUCUUUACUCCUGCUGUAUAAAAGCAUGUGCCUGUUGUAGCUCUUGCCAAAUGCCAUUAAAUGAAAUUAAAAAUACAUCAACUGUUAUUUUUCAGAAUCUGUGACUUCACAGAGUAUUACAACACGAACUCAAAGAACCUCUUGAGUUCUGUUUUAAUUUUAUAAUAUUCUGGUUAAUAAUGUCUGUUAAAACAUCCGUUAAAAGACCAUCGUGCUAAUUUAACUGGGAACAUAUAAUAGAUGCUGUUUAAUGCUUCCAUUAAAUUAAAGCUAGAUUAGUGUCUUUAGUAGAUGUUAUUAUUAACAAUAUCUUAAAUAGAUGCUGUUAUUAAAAAGAGUAAUGCAACAUUAAUUAAAAGCAAGCUGCAACUUCACUGGCAAAAGAAAAACUCUUUACCUAAUGGACACCAAAAUAUUAGCAGUAACAAAACAUUUUCUUGUUUGGUUCACUGUCUUCUGCAUUCCACCAUUAUUUUCCCUUUAGUAUAAUGACCUCAACUGUACUGUGUAAUCAAAUGGAUAUCAAAUAAAUGCUUCCAUAGGGAUGGAAUGCUUCUUA
Molecule: long non-coding RNA, 5200 nt
Organism: Pipra filicauda (Wire-tailed manakin)
Lineage: Eukaryota; Metazoa; Chordata; Aves; Passeriformes; Pipridae
Exons: 2
Source: RefSeq, a predicted model, not a curated record